UGUCUAGGUACCACAGACACGGAAAGC
RNAcentral lists this non-coding RNA (27 nucleotides) under Rattus norvegicus (Norway rat). The record is from RNAcentral. Lineage: Eukaryota; Metazoa; Chordata; Mammalia; Rodentia; Muridae.